Molecule: ribosomal RNA, 120 nt
Filed under: Nitrososphaerota archaeon
Lineage: Archaea; Thermoproteati; Nitrososphaerota
Source: RNAcentral
UCAGCCGGCCAUAGCGCGUGGGUCCUACCUGGACUCGUUCCGAACCCAGCAGUAAAACAACGCGUCGUCGCCAUGCUACUGAGUUCCGAGAGGACUCGGGAAGUGACGAUGCCGGCGCCC